Molecule: long non-coding RNA, 842 nt
Organism: Passer domesticus (house sparrow)
Lineage: Eukaryota; Metazoa; Chordata; Aves; Passeriformes; Passeridae
Exons: 5
Source: RefSeq, a predicted model, not a curated record
AAGAUUAUAUAGUUUCAAGCCCCCUGCCAUACACAGAGAUACCACAAGGCUUAAUCCUUCGAGGCUUCCUUGGACACACUGAAGCAUCCUGGCUGCCCUCCCAGGCAUCCUGAAGCUGUACUCCUGCAACAUCAAUGAAAGGGGUUCCCCUGCCUCUCCAUGGCUGCAGCUGAAAUCAGUAAUAGCACAGUAUAUGAUGUAGCUGAAUUGCUAAGGCAAAAAAUGUGCCUGAGAGGAGAAAAAGUAGAAGGCAAAUCUCUUUGCUUCUGCUCAGAUCACAGUGCAUCAGGUCUGUACUGAUGACGGUCCUCGAGGGAAGGAUAAGGGAAGCAGGUAAUUCCUUGAGAAGCAAAAUCAUCCAAGCUCCAAAAUUAUGCCAUGGCAAAAUGCAGAAAUUGAUCUAUUUUUGAGAACAACGCUGCACCAGCAAGUGGAUGGUCUAGGAAGAACUCAUCUGAGUUGCUGACCUCAACAACUGCUCCACAGAGACAGCAAAUGAACCAUCCUCCACCAUCCUGCCAUUUUCUCAGCAGAACUGCUGUUGAACCACAGACAGUGACAACUCAUUAUCUCUUGCUCAAGACAUAUCAUCUUGCCUGUUUUUGUUUUCUAAUCCACUAUUGAAUCACUGCUGAACUGGAAAAAAAAUGAGAUAACUUGACCUUUAGGAAACCCAUCUACAGCUGAAUGUGCAAGAAGUGACAGCCAGAAAUGGUAUGUUCUUGUCAGGGUAAUAAAGCCAAGCUCCAAAAAAGAUCUAAUGUAUGCAGAUUCCUUUUCUUUCAGGGGUGACUGUAAUUUCAGGGAAAAGGCAAGCAGGUGAUUGAUUUGUUUAUAGUGAG